Gasterosteus aculeatus aculeatus (three-spined stickleback) is the source of this 2274-nucleotide long non-coding RNA. The record is from Ensembl. Lineage: Eukaryota; Metazoa; Chordata; Actinopteri; Perciformes; Gasterosteidae.
CGUCUGGAUCAAAGCAGUUGAUGGGGCUGCUUUAUGAAUAUGUAUUUGGAGGCAUUGAAAUCAUAUAAAGUAACUACAUAUUUAACUGUAAAUGUGUUUUGUAAAUAUUGGAGCCCAUUUAGUAGUGUUGUUACCUCCGACCCUCCUGCUUCGAAGCUUGUGUCGAAAUAUGAACCAGUCCAAGGCGAAGCAAAUGUAUCGAUGCUCGGUUCGUUCGCUGCUGAUCACGUGGUCAGUGACGUCCGAAGCUUCGUUCCUGCGCAGUCCUGUUUAUUUUGAUUGUGGAGACCACCAGAUAUUUGGCUGAACCAAACAUUCCAUGGAGUGAAGACCCGCUAAAAUAUUGGGUCAAACACAAACAUGUGUACCCACAUCUAUUUGUAUUAGCAUGUAAUCUUUUGAGCAUUCCUGCCUCAUCGUGCCGUGUAAGCGCCUUUUUUCUAAAGCUGGGGAAACAGUAUCUAAGAAACCGACUCAAGCCCAAUACUGUGGAGAAAAUUGUGUUUCUCAAUAAAAAUCAAUAAUAAUUUCAUGCCCCAUCCCAUUGUGUCCACAAGCACCUCAAUAUCCUGUCAUAAGUUGAAAAACAAUAGUUUCAUUCAUAUAGGAAUACAUUAAUUCAUUGGAUGAUCUAUUAGCUCAACUUUUCAUAAUCAGAGAUUGGGCCAAAAUAUACUGGUAGGCUAUUCGAUACAUUUGCACUAUAGAUUUUCAACAGCAGAGAUCAUCAUAGAGUUUGCGAUGCAUUGAAUGAAUGAACCUUUUUCCGAUACAAUUGGCUGGAAAGCUUCACUUUGCCAUCACUACCAUUUAGUCCCUCAAAAGAACCUUCGUUUUGGCGUUGAAGGACUGGUUAUAAUGGCAAGACCGUAACACAAGACAAAGUUUUUAAUAGCUUUUAAUCUCCAAGGUCUUGGGAUACCUUUGUCAAAGUUGCUGUGACAAAGUCCCAGGGAGUUUGUCAAAGUAUAGCGUCUUAAAAGUGCAAAAAAUAGAGGGAAUAUUCACAAAAUAUGACUGACUUCCUGUUCAUUUUAGAGCAUGGUCCCAAAAGACUUGUUUUUAAGGCCACCUACAUGUGUUAAAAUAUCACCAUACUUGUAGGUCAAAAGGGGCAGUUGAAAACUGCCAGGGGGCACUAUGUAGGCCAUUUUUUUCAACUCUGUAGUGUCAUUAUCUAGGACACAGACAAAACAUUAAGAGUUUUUGAGUUUUCCAAGGCUCGGAAAUAUCUGAACUGUGAUGCAAAGGCCGUGUUGUUACGGCAACAAAGUUUUUCUAUAACUCCCAAUAAUCAUGGGGAACUAUCAAAGUCUUAAGGCUUUAAUGGAUACAUUUAAAGGUCGAUGGAUUAGAUGGCUAGUAGUAGCACAUUAAAGUGUUCAACUUUUUGCAUUUCCUUAUGCCAAUAGAUGGCGCUAUGAUUCUUUUAAUUACUGCAUGGGACUGCUUUAAGGCCUACACUACCAUCAUGAAGACAUUUUGGCCAGAACUUGGAAUAUUCCUUGGAGUUAUAACAUUUUACAUUUUCAAGAAAAUCCACCAAAAUGGACGCCGGUCCACGUCCAGGUUGUUGAAAACUCUUGAUUUGGAUGACUUUCGACUACACAGGUGUCAGGAUCAGUCUGCCCAAAUUUAAACUCUUGGAGGAGUUCAUUUGUUUGUAAAUCCAAAAUAUGAUAGAAAUUGAAAAAAACAAGCAAGAGAAAACAGUCACAAGCAUCCCGCACAUUCUUGAUCAUUACCUUACUGGAGUCAGCCUGGGUUGCUUUGGAAUGAAAUGAAAUAGCAUUAACCUUCGCUCAGGCCAUAAUAAAUAAAUCAAUAUAGUGCACUGAGGAGCAGAUAACCAUACUCUACACACCUGCGUUGUGACCGUAUGUAAAAGUGACAAGUGUAUGUGAACAGGAAGUGUGAAGGGAGUGACCGCAUGAAAGGGGUCAGGCCCUUUAUGAAUACCUAAGGCGAGAAUGGACUGGGUCAGGUUUGAAAGAGCUGUGGGGGAUGAGGUCGAGACUUUCCGAUUGUCUAUCAAAUCUGCAGUAGAACUCAUUCAUUUUGUCUCGGGUUCUGUGAGUUGGGGGCGGAUAUAUAUAUAUAUGUAUAUAUUUUUUUCAUUUUCAUCUUUGUAAAGCCCCAAACUACUGUAUUUGGAUGUAUUGAACACCAUAAGUGAUGCACAAGUAAAAUAUGUAAUUUUGUACAUGAGAAUUCUUUGUUUUUGUCCAGCAGAUGUCACCAUCUCACCACUAGGGGGGUUGUCAGUGCAUUUUU